This 373-nucleotide ribosomal RNA is filed under the name uncultured bacterium. Its description in RNAcentral is "bacterial SSU rRNA". It matches the Rfam family "Bacterial small subunit ribosomal RNA", at positions 29 to 426 of the family's 1533-position model. The record is from RNAcentral.
AACGAACGCUGGCGGCAGGCCUAACACAUGCAAGUCGAACGCCGUAGCAAUACGGAGUGGCAGACGGGUGAGUAACACGUGGGAACGUACCCUUCGGUUCGGGAUAACUCAGGGAAACUUGAGCUAAUACCGGGAUACGUCCGAGAGGAGAAAAGAUUUAUUGCCGAGGGAUCGGCCCGCGUCUGAUUAGCUUGUUGGUGAGGUAACGGCUCACCAAGGCGACGAUCAGUAGCUGGUCGAGAGGAUGAUCAGCCACAUUGGGACUGAGACACGGCCCAAACGUCCUACGGGAGGCAGCAGUGGGGAAUAUUGGACAAGUGGGCGCAAGCCUGAUCCAGCCAUGCCGCGUGAGUGAUGAAGGCCCUAGGGUUGU